This is a long non-coding RNA of Dalotia coriaria, 154 nucleotides long. RefSeq lists it as uncharacterized. The record is from RefSeq and is a predicted model, not a curated record. Lineage: Eukaryota; Metazoa; Arthropoda; Insecta; Coleoptera; Staphylinidae. The transcript has 2 exons.
AGUAUUUGCCGUUCCUUGGAGUCCAUGAGUCUUGCAUUGCAAUUACCUUCGAGUUCCGAUGUCCGAGUCACGGGCUAAAUAAGAAUGCGAAUUUCAUUCGCUUCGUCGUUCGACUCCCGAUUUAAAAUAAAAUAAAUAUUGACACCCCUUCCCG